RNAcentral lists this ribosomal RNA (62 nucleotides) under Fusarium oxysporum f. sp. ciceris. RNAcentral's name for it is "partial 28S ribosomal RNA". The record is from RNAcentral. Lineage: Eukaryota; Fungi; Ascomycota; Sordariomycetes; Hypocreales; Nectriaceae.
UUGACCUCGGAUCAGUAGGUAGGAAUACCCGCUGAACUUAAGCAUAUCAAUAAGCGGAGGAA